UACGUAGGGUGCAAGCGUUGUCCGGAAUUAUUGGGCGUAAAGAGCUCGUAGGCGGUUUGUCGCGUCGGCUGUGAAAACCUGGGGCUCAACCCCGGGCCUGCAGCCGAUACGGGCAAACUAGAAUUCGGUAGGGGAGACUGGAAUUCCUGGUGUAGCGGUGAAAUGCGCAGAUAUCAGGAGGAACACCGGUGGCGAAGGCGGUUCUCUGGGCCUUACCUGACGCUGAGGAGCGAAAGCGUGGGGAGCGAACAGG
Molecule: ribosomal RNA, 253 nt
Filed under: uncultured bacterium
Lineage: Bacteria
Description: partial 16S ribosomal RNA
Rfam family: Bacterial small subunit ribosomal RNA
Source: RNAcentral